This 466-nucleotide ribosomal RNA is filed under the name uncultured bacterium. RNAcentral's name for it is "partial 16S ribosomal RNA". It matches the Rfam family "Bacterial small subunit ribosomal RNA", at positions 29 to 507 of the family's 1533-position model. The record is from RNAcentral.
AUGAACGCUGGCGGCGUGCUUAACACAUGCAAGUCGAACGGAAAGGCCCAAGCUUGCUUGGGUACUCGAGUGGCGAACGGGUGAGUAACACGUGGGUGAUCUGCCCUGCACUUCGGGAUAAGCCUGGGAAACUGGGUCUAAUACCGGAUAGGACGAUGGUUUGGAUGCCAUUGUGGAAAGUUUUUUCGGUGUGGGAUGAGCUCGCGGCCUAUCAGCUUGUUGGUGGGGUAAUGGCGUACCAAGGCGUCGACGGGUAGCCGGCCUGAGAGGGUGUACGGCCACAUUGGGACUGAGAUACGGCCCAGACUCCUACGGGAGGCAGCAGUGGGGAAUAUUGCACAAUGGGCGCAAGCCUGAUGCAGCGACGCCGCGUGGGGGAUGACGGCCUUCGGGUUGUAAACUCCUUUCGCUAGGGACGAAGCGUUUUGUGACGGUACCUGGAGAAGAAGCACCGGCUAACUACGUG